GCUCAGGGUGGAUGUCCCCUGUGGGGAGGGGACCAUUUCCUUCUCAGGAGUUGGGCAGCCCUGGAGAGGGUCCACGUCAGUUUGGUGAACCCCCCACCAGGCUCAGCCCUAAGGAUAGAGGAGCUGAUGGCCUCUCACGAAACAGGACAUGGCUCAGCAGACAGUUCGAGCCAGCCCAUGCAUGCAGGGCAUCCAGGCACGCCAAGGACACGCAGACACGACAGACAGGGCGCACGCGCAGGCUGGGGUGAACACCGUGGCCUCUGCAGAGGGCUGACUGGAGGGCAAUUUCCCUGCGGAAGACAGCACCACCUCCUCCCGGGAAAGCCACAGCCUCCCCUGCCACAGCUGAUGCACAAAUAGGACUCGAGAGACAAGAAGUGGAAAUGGAACGAGAUGAGCACAGACGGGGGCGGCACUGGCCCUGGCCUCAUGGAGCCUCUCCCCCUGCACUGCUGGGCUCGGGAGGCCACCCAGGGGGACAGUGCAGGGCAGCAGGUGGGGACAUCAGGCAGCUCCACGAAGGACAGCACAGAUGGUGCGUGGACACGGGGGCUCGAGCACAGGACUGUACUCCAGGGAAAGCAGGCUCGGCGCUGGAGCUGUUACCUGGAGAGGGGUCACCUCGAGCCUGGUGGGCCAGCAGCAGGCACUCCAUCCAGCGGGCCCCAGAAGACCCACGUGGGCAGGAGCAUCACCCCAUGUUUUCCGAGGACCCUGUGUUUUCUAAAAUCUGAAACAUCGACUGUGAGUUUCGGAAAGGAUGCGAUGCAGAGUAGACAGACCGGCAGGUCCAUGCAGCCUUCACCCUCCAGAACGCGGUCUGCACGUCUUGCAGCUUCACGGCUGGCCACAUCUGGGCUGUAGCAUCCGGGACAAAGGCCACUGUGACUCCACCUGCAGCAUCAGGGUCUGCCCAUUCUCUGUGCCUCUGGUCUGCACAGCUUCAACUUGCAGUCCAGCUCUCACUGAAAGACGUGAAUCGCCAGCCAGGAGCAUGCAGAAGCGCAGGCCUACAAAGGGCCCCAAGGGACUUCCGAGAGGACCUCUGUACUCUGACCGCGUGUUCUUUUCUCCAACCCCAACAUGGUGGGGCCAUUCAGAGCACUGUGAGUUUUGAGCAGAUGGGGGCUUGGGACCCCAAAUGUGGUCGAGCCAGUCUGAUGAGGUGGGAGGUGGCAAGGCCUAUACCCUGCACACAGACAUGAGGCAAGGCUCGAGACUGCAGCCAAACCCAGAAGAGGGGCUGGGCAGCCAUGGCCUCCUGGAACAGUCUGAGAGCAGGUGCCUGUGAGUGAUCCCCAGAUCUCGCUGUGUGAAGAAGUUAAGGCCCAACACUGAGGUGGCAAAAAGACCAGAUCUGGAGCCUAAAGUAACUGCAAGGUCUUCCUGUGCGUGUGCCUGCCAGGCACGUCUGUCCCCUCUGGAGGACACGUUUCCUUCUGAACACACCAUUCAGCAGAUGAGCAACCAACUUCCAAGGGAUAGGACCAGCACGUGGCAUGUCCAGCAAAGGAAUGUCACCAAGAAGCGUCCAAGAGUGGGAGGACCCAGAGGGAAAACAUGCCCUGAGUCAGGCCAGUCUGGAGGGCCGGGCAAGCUGGCCUUGGGACACAGGAAGACGGUGACUCUGAUGCACAGAACAGUGUCCUGUCCCAGCACCGAUCAGGGCUCUGGGGCCAGAUGUGACAGAAGGUAGGUUGGGGAUGCUGCCAGGGCAGAAGCAGGCCAGGCAAUCCUUGUGCCAACUCAGAGCCAAGAAGACAGGGAACUCUACCUCAGGCCUGUGGGCAGCGGUCCACGGGGGACAGUGAGAAGAAACCUGGCUGAGCUGGACUCCCUUGCAGCCACUCUGGCUUGUCUUCCAGUCUCACGGGACUCAAGGACACUGCAGGCUUUAGGACACUGUUUUCUGAUCAGCCACUUGAAUGAGAAGCAGGGUGACUGAGAAAGCUCAUCACAGAUUCAUCCGGAGCUUUCAGGGGACGCUGGGGCAGGUCAGGCCGCUGCCCAUUUUCUCCACCGAACCCAACAGAGGCCUUCUAGAACCUUCACUCCUCCUGGCCUCCAGCUGAGGACAGCAUGGCCCCAGCCAGCUCAGAGGGACCCAGGUUCAGCACAUGGGGACUCUGAGGAGAGGCUGGGACGCCCGCUCUCAACAAGCACUUUGUGUGCAGAUAGCUGGAGGUCCACAAGCUGGCCUGCCCAGGGUCAGCCAAGGGCAUUUAUAUUCCAUCCUCCAACUUCAGGAGCAUUUUCCCACAGAACUUCCUGCCAUUCAUGCUACAGCUCCCACAUGAAGGCAGGCACAGAGAAGCAAGGGUCCAGGAUCUGCUUGAGUAGCUGAACUGCCUGCACGGACAUGGUGACCACGGUCCUCUGUCAGGGAAGCAGGUCCUGACUUCCCAGGCUGCCCUUGAGAUAGGAAGUGUCAGGGAGGGCCCUAUGUGGGGGAGUAGAAGGGCGGUCCUGGGCAGCUGAGAUGGUGUCUUGGGACCAUGGGAGGCGUGAAGGGACUCAGAAAAGGAAAGAUCAGAAGGUAACAGGGCCCGAUCCACCACCCCUGGGACCCUAACCCUGAGCCCAGCCCUCUCCCCCCAGCUACGAUACCCACCAGGCUGGGCUCAGACCACCACACCCAGAGGACCACUCACACCGGUGCUACGGGGUCAGGGGAGCGGCCUGGCCCCCGCUGCCUGCCAGGGUCACCCUUGGAUGGUAGCCGGAGCAGCAGGGACAGAAGAAGAUAAGCAGAGGCCAGGCCAGCCCCACACCCAGCAGCAAGGGCAGUGAUGGGGCAGACAGGCAGAGCCACACCUCCAGGCUGAAGGAAGGAGACCCACAAGCCCAAGGAAGGAAGCACCGGAGGCAAGAAGGCCCAGAGCCACUGCAGAAGCAGGCGGGCACAAGAAAACCAGGGCAACUUACUAACUAGUCAGGGCGGCUC
This is a non-coding RNA of Heterocephalus glaber (naked mole-rat), 2947 nucleotides long. Lineage: Eukaryota; Metazoa; Chordata; Mammalia; Rodentia; Bathyergidae. The record is from RefSeq and is a predicted model, not a curated record.